GAUGUCAGGGGAAGCCCGGGCAGCGGCCGCCCCGCUCUCAAACGCCCUCGCCCGGCUUUCGGCGUCCUCAGGAGCCGUCCUGAAAAUCAGGGUGCCGAGGUGCUGCCGGGACGCGCAGUACAAGGAGAACGCCGCCUUCCGCGAGGGCGGCGCAGAAGGGACACAAGGACCUUGAAAACGGCAGCUUCUUUGACACGGCUAUUCUCCUUCGACCCCCCUGGCUGAAUAAAAAACUCACAAAAAUGGA
Lonchura striata (white-rumped munia) is the source of this 247-nucleotide non-coding RNA. NCBI's taxonomy places the organism in Eukaryota, Metazoa, Chordata, Aves, Passeriformes, Estrildidae. The record is from RefSeq and is a predicted model, not a curated record.